AAUAUAAGUUUGGGUACGUUGUUAACCCUUGUUAAAAUCUGAUAAAGGAAAAUAGGAAUAUGGUUUAAAUUCUGUUUUUAAUAUCUAAGAAAAGUGAAUGAAUUCUGGAUAUGCUUAAUAUUUGAUGAACCUUAAUUUUCUCUUUGUAUAUAAUUUGAUAUAGUAUGAUUGUGAUUUCUGGUCUGGAGCGUGUGGGUUUGCUGACAUUAAAUGGGAUAAGUAUGUUUCGAUAAAAGUGAGUAGAAUAAAGUAUUCUUUUCAGUGGGAUAUUAGAUGUUAACAAGUAAUUGAGUUGGAAAGUAAAGGUAUGGUAUGAUAAUUGUACUGCAUGUUGGUAUUUGUUUGCAAUCAAGACCUAAACACAUAGGACGGAUAAAAAAAUAAAAUAAAAUAAAAAAAUUAAAGAUAUGUUAUUAUGUGAGGUUAAUAUAUGAAAUUGUAGUGACCUUUAAUUAUCGUGCAAAUCGGAAUUUGUUGAAUUAUUGAGUUUGGUAUGUUACGAAUGGUUACUUAAAAGAAUAUGCAUGUGAUUAAGUUAAAGUAAAUAGUAUGAUCUGGUAGUUGAGUGCUUGAACUUUGAUAUGUUGUGGUUAUUUGUUUGUUAAAGCUGGGAACGUAAUAGUUCAUGAGAGCGAGUUGGUUUUCUGCAUAAUAAGGGCUAAGAGCAUUAUAAUGAACCUAGUGUCUUGGAAAUUGGAAUGUUUCUAUCUAAAGUAGUGUUUUAUUGAGUAAGCUGAUAUGCUUUACAAUUUUCCAGAGGAGAUUAAUUAGGUGCACAAGCUCUUAUGUGUGUGUAUAUAUAAGUUAUGUAGAUUUGAAUUUGAUUCUUUUGUUAGGAUGUCCUCUCUUUAAAUCAUGCAUUGUUGUAGUUUUUGCAUGAUGUUUGUAUGGUAGUUAUGUUUAAAAGGUUCCUUAGAAUAGAUCAUUGGGUGCAUGAAUGAUAUGUGUAUAUGCAAAACUGAUAAUUUAUUCUUCAAUAUUGUAAUAUUUGCUUGACUAUGCGUGUCGUAAGGUUUUUUCCUGUUUUGGAUGAGUUUGAGUAACUUGAAAUUUUGUAAUACUUUCUUGUAUUACUCUAUAUGAUUCUUCAUCUGUCCUGCAUUUUGAGGGAUGAUUAUGGUACAGUCUUAUUUUAGUUAGAAGCAUGCACUGAGUGUGCAAUAUGGGUUGAAUAUGCUAAAUGAUGUUUGCUCUUAUUUUUUAUGGUAGUUCACGAGGUGACAAAGAUAAUUGUGAUGUUGUUGUAGGGUUAUGGAACAUAGUCUGCUGAGGAGAAGCAGAGGCUUUUGAAGUUGAUUGUGAACUGUAUGAAUUUUAUGAUAGAGUUUUAAUUUUAAUGAUUUGUUCUUAUGCUAAUCUUGUAGGAAUUUAUCUCCAAGAACAAGUUGUUUAUAACUGGUACUCUUCUACGUAACAGUGGAAGUGAUGGGUUAUCGUAACUGGCAAAGUGACCUUCUUGUCACGAUCUACUGAGAUUCAUCCAUUGUCGUUUUGAUUCGUUUUAUCCCUCUAUGUGACCUUGUUGUCACGAUCUACUGAGAUUCAUCCAUU
This 1551-nucleotide long non-coding RNA is filed under the name Vigna radiata. RNAcentral describes it as "long non-coding RNA (VRAD_LNC018275)". The record is from RNAcentral. Lineage: Eukaryota; Viridiplantae; Streptophyta; Magnoliopsida; Fabales; Fabaceae.